RNAcentral lists this ribosomal RNA (312 nucleotides) under Martinezella miluonensis. RNAcentral describes it as "bacterial SSU rRNA". It matches the Rfam family "Bacterial small subunit ribosomal RNA", at positions 1 to 341 of the family's 1533-position model. The record is from RNAcentral. Lineage: Bacteria; Pseudomonadati; Pseudomonadota; Alphaproteobacteria; Hyphomicrobiales; Rhizobiaceae.
CUCAACAUGAGAGUUUGAUCCUGGCUCAGAACGAACGCUGGCGGCAGGCUUAACACAUGCAAGUCGAGCGCCCCGCAAGGGGAGCGGCAGACGGGUGAGUAACGCGUGGGAAUCUACCUUUUGCUACGGAAUAACGCAGGGAAACUUGUGCUAAUACCGUAUGUGUCCUUCGGGAGAAAGAUUUAUCGGCAAGAGAUGAGCCCGCGUUGGAUUAGCUAGUUGGUGGGGUAAAGGCCUACCAAGGCGACGAUCCAUAGCUGGUCUGAGAGGAUGAUCAGCCACAUUGGGACUGAGACACGGCCCAAACUCCUA